This 655-nucleotide long non-coding RNA is filed under the name Populus trichocarpa (black cottonwood). RNAcentral describes it as "long non-coding RNA (PTRI_LNC004002)". Lineage: Eukaryota; Viridiplantae; Streptophyta; Magnoliopsida; Malpighiales; Salicaceae. The record is from RNAcentral.
CUUGCUUGUACUCUGUUUGAUGGUUUGGAUAAAAAUUUAUGAGUGUAGAAUCCAGGUAGCCGGGAAUGUUUUAUUUGCUAUUUUAUGUGUGCAUGUUUUCUUGAUGUUGUGAAAGGAGUUCUAAAUAUACUGUUUUUACUGUAGGUACUCUCUGGUCUCACUGCUCUUUUUUUGUCACUGCAUUUUUUAGUUUAUUGUACUCUUUGGUUCUCAAUAGGUUUUACAUUAAAUUUAUGUCUUUCAUUUUGGAAUUAUUGGAACGUGGUUCUUGAGGAUUUCCUUUAAUGAUCUUAUUCAAGUAAAUCUUGCUAUACCAAGUUACAGGCGGAGUAAACCGUAACCUAAAUAACAGGUUUCUUGUGUGGCUGGACUUUGAUUUAUUGGAUGUUCAAUGCUAGAUUUACUGCUUUGUGUGAGAGUGUGUACACACACACACACACACACACACACACACAUAUUAAUCAUUCCUGUUAGGUUUUUGGCCAAGCCUUACUUGCAGAGCACAGUUGAUUGCCGGCAUAGGCUUUUAGGUUUGUCUUGUUGCACUUGUAGCAUCUAAGUGCUUCCUUGGUAGAUUCUUCCUUAUUUCCAUCAGUUUUGAAGUUUGAGAACUUUUUGUUUGAAAACUAGGAGGUCCUGUAGGUUUAUUUUUCCU